CCUACGGGAGGCAGCAGUGGGGAAUAUUGGACAAUGGGCGAAAGCCUGAUCCAGCAAUGCCGCGUGAGUGAUGAAGGCCUUCGGGUCGUAAAGCUCUUUUACCAGGGAUGAUAAUGACAGUACCUGGAGAAUAAGCUCCGGCUAACUCCGUGCCAGCAGCCGCGGUAAUACGGAGGGAGCUAGCGUUGUUCGGAAUUACUGGGCGUAAAGAGUACGUAGGCGGUUAUUCAAGUCAGAGGUGAAAGCCCGGGGCUCAACCCCGGAACUGCCUUUGAAACUAGAUAACUAGAGUCUUGGAGAGGUUAGUGGAAUUCCGAGUGUAGAGGUGAAAUUCGUAGAUAUUCGGAAGAACACCAGUGGCGAAGGCGACUAACUGGACAAGUACUGACGCUGAGGUACGAAAGCGUGGGGAGCAAACAGGAUUAGAUACCCUGGUAGUCCACGCCGUAAACGAUGAUAACUAGUUGUUCGGUCACUUGGUGACUGAGUGACGCGGCUAACGCAUUAAGUUAUCCGCCUGGGGAGUACGGUCGCAAGNUUAAAACUCAAAGGAAUUGACGGCUGAGAAGUGCGAGCGACACGAGGAGAGG
This 590-nucleotide ribosomal RNA is filed under the name uncultured bacterium. RNAcentral's name for it is "bacterial SSU rRNA". It matches the Rfam family "Bacterial small subunit ribosomal RNA", at positions 338 to 944 of the family's 1533-position model. The record is from RNAcentral.